AACGAACGCUGGCGGCAGGCCUAACACAUGCAAGUCGAGCGAGACCUUCGGGUUUAGCGGCGGACGGGUUAGUAACGCGUGGGAACGUGCCCUUCUCUAAGGAAUAGCCACUGGAAACGGUGAGUAAUACCUUAUACGCCCUUCGGGGGAAAGGAUUUAUCGGAGAAGGAUCGGCCCGCGUUAGAUUAGGUAGUUGGUGGGGUAAUGGCCUACCAAGCCUACGAUCUAUAGCUGGUUUUAGAGGAUGAUCAGCAACACUGGGACUGAGACACGGCCCAGACUCCUACGGGAGGCAGCAGUGGGGAAUCUUGGACAAUGGGCGCAAGCCUGAUCCAGCCAUGCCGCGUGAGUGAUGAAGGCCUUAGGGUCGUAAAGCUCUUUCGCCAGGGAUGAUAAUGACAGUACCUGGUAAAGAAACCCCGGCUAACUCCGUGCCAGCCGCCGCUGUAAC
This 451-nucleotide ribosomal RNA is filed under the name uncultured Roseovarius sp. RNAcentral's name for it is "bacterial SSU rRNA". It matches the Rfam family "Bacterial small subunit ribosomal RNA", at positions 29 to 524 of the family's 1533-position model. Lineage: Bacteria; Pseudomonadati; Pseudomonadota; Alphaproteobacteria; Rhodobacterales; Roseobacteraceae. The record is from RNAcentral.